GAUGAACGCUAGCUACAGGCUUAACACAUGCAAGUCGAGGGGAACGAUAGAGAAAGCUUGCUUUUCUUAGGCGUCGACCGGCGCACGGGUGAGUAACGCGUAUCCAACCUGCCCACCACUUGGGGAUAACCUUGCGAAAGUAAGACUAAUACCCAAUGACGUCUCUAGAAGACAUCUGAAAGGGAUUAAAGAUUUAUCGGUGAUGGAUGGGGAUGCGUCUGAUUAGCUUGUUGGCGGGGUAACGGCCCACCAAGGCGACGAUCAGUAGGGGUUCGUGAGAGGAAGGUCCCCACAUUGGAACUGAGACACGGUCCAAACUCCUACGGGAGGCAGCAGUGAGGAAUAUUGGUCAAUGGGCGGAAGCCUGAACCAGCCAAGUAGCGUGCAGGAAGACGGCCCUAUGGGUUGUAAACUGCUUUCAGUCGGGAAUAAUUCGUCGGUCGUGACCGACGUUGCAGGUACCGUCAUAAGAAGGACCGGCUAAUUCCGUG
Molecule: ribosomal RNA, 491 nt
Filed under: uncultured bacterium
Lineage: Bacteria
Description: bacterial SSU rRNA
Rfam family: Bacterial small subunit ribosomal RNA
Source: RNAcentral